RNAcentral lists this long non-coding RNA (701 nucleotides) under Mytilus galloprovincialis (Mediterranean mussel). The record is from RNAcentral. Lineage: Eukaryota; Metazoa; Mollusca; Bivalvia; Mytilida; Mytilidae.
GUCAGUAAUAAUAUUAAAGAAAAUUGCAUUUGUUCUAGUAAUGUGGUAUGGAAAAUGUUGUUAACGCCACUGUAUUAAGGUUAAAACCAAGUAUUUUCAAUUUCUAGAAAUAUUUUCGAUUACAGUUAAUCCUUAUUAUAUAAAUAACGAUACAUGUGUUACUUGUACAAUUUAUGCAAUGCAGAUUUCCUCAGUAAUUAAGAUGACAUUCAACCUAUAAUGAUUUCAAUCUAAACAAGCUGAAAAGUUGAUCAAUUUUCAUCAUUGAAGUUAUCUUUGCCUUUAAUCGCUGUGUUAUUGUGUAUACUACAAAGAUGAUAUGUCAAUUAUAAGUCUGUGAUUGAGAGUAGUCUCAUUGGCAAUCAUGCCACAUCUUCUUAUAUUUAUUUUAAAUAUAUAAGGUAGGUACGCCAUAAAUCAUUAGAAAAAAUAAAUAAUUUAACUGUAAAAGCUUUAGAAAAGGCAGAAAUACUAGUAUUGGAAAUUGCAAAUAUCUUUAUUUUGUCUACUUAGUUAAUAAUAAACACUGAAAUGUUUUAAUGCUACAAUAUCAUUAAAUAUAUUUAAAAAAGAAAUACUAGUAGUAAGCCUUUUAAUCCUAUUGUAGUUUAACUAGUUUUGAUAUAAACUGUACUAUAGACUAAACAUAAGUGCCGUAAUUGCAGUGCAGAGUCCAUUCAUCAGUUGAAUAAAGCAUUAUU